This 60-nucleotide microRNA precursor is filed under the name Limulus polyphemus (Atlantic horseshoe crab). Its description in RNAcentral is "Lpo-Mir-2-P2j_pre stem-loop". Lineage: Eukaryota; Metazoa; Arthropoda; Merostomata; Xiphosura; Limulidae. The record is from RNAcentral.
CCGCCACUAUGGCAGUGAUAUGUUAUGCACAAAAUCAUAUCACAGUCAUCUUGACGUGUC